RNAcentral lists this ribosomal RNA (253 nucleotides) under uncultured bacterium. Its description in RNAcentral is "partial 16S ribosomal RNA". It matches the Rfam family "Bacterial small subunit ribosomal RNA", at positions 524 to 776 of the family's 1533-position model. The record is from RNAcentral.
UACGGAGGGUCCAAGCGUUAUCCGGAAUCAUUGGGUUUAAAGGGUCCGUAGGCGGUUUAGUAAGUCAGUGGUGAAAGCCCAUCGCUCAACGGUGGAACGGCCAUUGAUACUGUUAAACUUGAAUUAUUAGGAAGUAACUAGAAUAUGUAGUGUAGCGGUGAAAUGCUUAGAGAUUACAUGGAAUACCAAUUGCGAAGGCAGGUUACUACUAAUGGAUUGACGCUGAUGGACGAAAGCGUGGGUAGCGAACAGG